RNAcentral lists this ribosomal RNA (253 nucleotides) under uncultured bacterium. Its description in RNAcentral is "partial 16S ribosomal RNA". It matches the Rfam family "Bacterial small subunit ribosomal RNA", at positions 524 to 776 of the family's 1533-position model. The record is from RNAcentral.
UACAGAGGGUGCAAGCGUUAAUCGGAAUUACUGGGCGUAAAGCGUGCGCAGGCGGUUUUGUAAGCCAGGUGUGAAAUCCCCGGGCUCAACCUGGGAAUGGCAUUUGGGACUGCAAGGCUGGAGUGCGGCAGAGGAGACUGGAAUUCCUGGUGUAGCAGUGAAAUGCGUAGAUAUCAGGGGGAACACCGAUGGCGAAGGCAGGUCUCUGGGCUGACACUGACGCUCAUGCACGAAAGCGUGGGGAGCAAACAGG